UGGCACGUAGUUGGCCGGGACUUCUUCUGUAGGUACCGUCAUUUCGUCCUACUGAAAGGGGUUUACAACCCGAAGGCCUUCAUCCCCCACGCGGCGUUGCUGCGUCAGGCUUUCGCCCAUUGCGCAAGAUUCC
This 133-nucleotide ribosomal RNA is filed under the name uncultured bacterium. Its description in RNAcentral is "partial 16S ribosomal RNA". The record is from RNAcentral.